This 71-nucleotide transfer RNA is filed under the name Capra hircus (goat). It matches the Rfam family "tRNA". From Rfam's summary of the family: Transfer RNA (tRNA) molecules are approximately 80 nucleotides in length. Their secondary structure includes four short double-helical elements and three loops (D, anti-codon, and T loops). The record is from Rfam by way of RNAcentral. RNAcentral also lists the same sequence under 1 other name. Lineage: Eukaryota; Metazoa; Chordata; Mammalia; Artiodactyla; Bovidae.
UCCCUGGUGGCUCAGUGGUAAAGAAUCUGCCUGCCAAUUAGGAGACACGGGUUCGAUCCCUGGUCUGGGAA